RNAcentral lists this unclassified non-coding RNA (289 nucleotides) under Hevea brasiliensis (rubber tree). Lineage: Eukaryota; Viridiplantae; Streptophyta; Magnoliopsida; Malpighiales; Euphorbiaceae. The record is from RNAcentral.
GGCGAGUGCUCUUGAAGUACUUGAUGGCCCUGAUAGCUCUAUCAUCUACGUGCUUCAGUUCGGAUAGCAAGGUACUGGUAUUUAAUCUUGGCUUGUAUUUUGCAAGUAUCUUAGCCUCUACAGAUGAGUGGACAUGAGACUUGUGGGUUCCAUUGAGUGGUUUUUUGCUUUUGUCAUAGGAAUUUGCAAGUACUGAUAUCAUUCUGCGUAGCAAAUUCCUUCUGAAUAGGAAGAUCGCAUGAACUCCUUUUUUCUUGAAAUACUCCGCUAUACCUUCGUGAUGUUCCAG